Molecule: ribosomal RNA, 1186 nt
Filed under: Acinetobacter haemolyticus
Lineage: Bacteria; Pseudomonadati; Pseudomonadota; Gammaproteobacteria; Moraxellales; Moraxellaceae
Description: bacterial SSU rRNA
Rfam family: Bacterial small subunit ribosomal RNA
Source: RNAcentral
CAUGCAGUCGAGCGGGGAAGGGUAGCUUGCUACCUGACCUAGCGGCGGACGGGUGAGUAAUGCUUAGGAAUCUGCCUAUUAGUGGGGGACAACAUUCCGAAAGGAAUGCUAAUACCGCAUACGCCCUACGGGGGAAAGCAGGGGAUCUUCGGACCUUGCGCUAAUAGAUGAGCCUAAGUCAGAUUAGCUAGUUGGUGGGGUAAAGGCCUACCAAGGCGACGAUCUGUAGCGGGUCUGAGAGGAUGAUCCGCCACACUGGGACUGAGACACGGCCCAGACUCCUACGGGAGGCAGCAGUGGGGAAUAUUGGACAAUGGGCGAAAGCCUGAUCCAGCCAUGCCGCGUGUGUGAAGAAGGCCUUUUGGUUGUAAAGCACUUUAAGCGAGGAGGAGGCUACCGAGAUUAAUACUCUUGGAUAGUGGACGUUACUCGCAGAAUAAGCACCGGCUAACUCUGUGCCAGCAGCCGCGGUAAUACAGAGGGUGCGAGCGUUAAUCGGAUUUACUGGGCGUAAAGCGUGCGUAGGCGGCUUUUUAAGUCGGAUGUGAAAUCCCUGAGCUUAACUUAGGAAUUGCAUUCGAUACUGGGAAGCUAGAGUAUGGGAGAGGAUGGUAGAAUUCCAGGUGUAGCGGUGAAAUGCGUAGAGAUCUGGAGGAAUACCGAUGGCGAAGGCAGCCAUCUGGCCUAAUACUGACGCUGAGGUACGAAAGCAUGGGGAGCAAACAGGAUUAGAUACCCUGGUAGUCCAUGCCGUAAACGAUGUCUACUAGCCGUUGGGGCCUUUGAGGCUUUAGUGGCGCAGCUAACGCGAUAAGUAGACCGCCUGGGGAGUACGGUCGCAAGACUAAAACUCAAAUGAAUUGACGGGGGCCCGCACAAGCGGUGGAGCAUGUGGUUUAAUUCGAUGCAACGCGAAGAACCUUACCUGGUCUUGACAUAGUAAGAACUUUCCAGAGAUGGAUUGGUGCCUUCGGGACUUACAUACAGGUGCUGCAUGGCUGUCGUCAGCUCGUGUCGUGAGAUGUUGGGUUAGUCCCGCAACGAGCGCAACCCUUUUCCUAUUUGCCAGCGGGUUAAGCCGGGAACUUUAAGGNNCUGCCNUGACAANUGGAGGAAGGCGGGGACANNUCAGUCNCNGGGCCUUNNACCGGGGUACANGUGCNUAAAGGNNGGGAANAGGGUUNNC